UGGGGAAUAUUGGACAAUGGACCAAGAGUCUGAUCCAGCAAUUCUGUGUGCACGAUGACGUUUUUCGGAAUGUAAAGUGCUUUCAGUUGGGAAGAAAAAAAUGACGGUACCAACAGAAGAAGUGACGGCUAAAUACGUGCCAGCAGCCGCGGUAAUACGUAUGUCACGAGCGUUAUCCGGAUUUAUUGGGCGUAAAGCGCGUCUAGGUGGUUAUGUAAGUCUGAUGUGAAAAUGCAGGGCUCAACUCUGUAUUGCGUUGGAAACUGUGUAACUAGAGUACUGGAGAGGUAAGCGGAACUACAAGUGUAGAGGUGAAAUUCGUAGAUAUUUGUAGGAAUGCCGAUGGGGAAGCCAGCUUACUGGACAGAUACUGACGCUGAAGCGCGAAAGCGUGGGUAGCAAACAGGAUUAGAUACCCUGGUAGUCCACGCCGUAACGAUGAUUACUAGGUGUUGGGGGUCGAACCUCAGCGCCCAAGCAAACGCGAUAAGUAAUCCGCCUGGGGAGUACGUACGCAAGUAU
Molecule: ribosomal RNA, 522 nt
Filed under: uncultured bacterium
Lineage: Bacteria
Description: bacterial SSU rRNA
Rfam family: Bacterial small subunit ribosomal RNA
Source: RNAcentral